CGUAGGAUGCAAGCGUUGUUCGGAAUUACUGGGCGUAAAGAGUACGUAGGCGGUAUGGUAAGUCUGAUAUUAAAGACUGAGGCUUAACUUCAGGAGUGUAUCGGAAACUGCCAGACUAGAGGACAAUAGAGGAAGUCGGAAUUCUCAGUGUAGCGGUGAAAUGCGUAGAUAUAGGGAAGAACACCAGUGGCGAAAGCGGACUUCUGGGUUGUUACUGACGCUGAGGUACGAAAGCGUGGGGAGCAAACGGGAUUAGAUACCCCGGUAGUCCACGCUGUAAACGAUGGAUACUAGGUGUAGCCGGUCUCGACCCCGGCUGUGCCGUAGCUAACGCAAUAAGUAUCCCGCCUGGGGAGUAUGGCCGCAAGGUUG
RNAcentral lists this ribosomal RNA (372 nucleotides) under uncultured organism. Its description in RNAcentral is "bacterial SSU rRNA". It matches the Rfam family "Bacterial small subunit ribosomal RNA", at positions 526 to 896 of the family's 1533-position model. The record is from RNAcentral.